GCCAGGUGCGGUAGCAUGUGCCUGUAGUCCCAGUUACUCGGGAGGCUGAGGUGGGAGAGGAUUGCUUGAGCCCAGGAGUUCUGGGCUGUAGUGCGCUAUGCCGAUUGGGUGUCCGCACUAAGUUCGGCAUCAAUAUGGUGACCUCCUGGGAGCAGAGGGACCACCAGGUUGCCUAAGGACGGGUGAACCCGCCCAGGUAGGAAACGGAGAAGGUCAAAACUCUGUGCUGAUCAGUAGUGUUAUGGCACCUGUGAAUAGCCACUGCAUUCCAGCCUGGGCAACAUAACGAGACCCCGUCUCUA
Molecule: unclassified non-coding RNA, 302 nt
Organism: Callithrix jacchus (white-tufted-ear marmoset)
Lineage: Eukaryota; Metazoa; Chordata; Mammalia; Primates; Cebidae
Rfam family: Metazoan signal recognition particle RNA
About the family: The signal recognition particle (SRP) is a universally conserved ribonucleoprotein. It is involved in the co-translational targeting of proteins to membranes.
Source: Ensembl